Macadamia integrifolia is the source of this 471-nucleotide long non-coding RNA. RefSeq lists it as uncharacterized. The record is from RefSeq and is a predicted model, not a curated record. The transcript is spliced from 2 exons. NCBI's taxonomy places the organism in Eukaryota, Viridiplantae, Streptophyta, Magnoliopsida, Proteales, Proteaceae.
UUCUUACAUUACAAAACAAAUCUCUAGUAGAUUUUGCAUAGAAAAUCCUGAAUCCAUUAUGGAUUUUGCUAUAAAAUCCCCUCAAGCUUCACUAGAAGAAUUUGCAUUUGUUUUUUGUAGUCAGGUAGAAAUGGCUGAACCUAAGCUUCUACAUGUUGUAUCUCUCCUUAUUUUGGUUCUCUCUUCCAUAGCAAUGGUUCAAUCAUCAAGGUACCUGGAAGAAGACAGCAAGAACGUUGAAGGUGUUGGACAAAACUAUGUUGAACUUGAAAAAUGCACCUCACUAGUUCAAUGUGUAAAACUUUGUACUGGACAGGGACAUAAAGGAGGUUUUUGUAAAUUAGGUCAAGAUUCUCUUAUCUGUCAAUGCUAUGGAUAGUUUAAUUAUUUAAAAAUAAAUUAAUAAAUAAAGGGAUGCAUACUUAUAUGUGCUUCAUUUGAGCUUAAUAAAAUCCUGGUUUUUUUUUUCUU